GAUCAUGGCUCAGGACGAACGUUGGCGGCGUGCCUAAUACAUGCAAGUAGAACGCUGAAGGAGGAGCUUGCUUCUCUGGAUGAGUUGCGAACGGGUGAGUAACGCGUAGGUAACCUGCCUGGUAGCGGGGGAUAACUAUUGGAAACGAUAGCUAAUACCGCAUAACAGUAGAUGUUGCAUGACAUUUGCUUAAAAGGUGCAAUUGCAUCACUACCAGAUGGACCUGCGUUG
This 231-nucleotide ribosomal RNA is filed under the name uncultured bacterium. RNAcentral describes it as "partial 16S ribosomal RNA". It matches the Rfam family "Bacterial small subunit ribosomal RNA", at positions 15 to 238 of the family's 1533-position model. The record is from RNAcentral.